GACGAACGCUGGCGGCGUGCUUAACACAUGCAAGUCGAACGGAAGGGCCCCUUUGGGGGUCCUCGAGUGGCGAACGGGUGAGUAACACGUGCGUAACCUGCCCUUGACUUCGGGAUAACUUCAGGAAACUGGGGCUAAUACCGGGGAGGAAUCCUUGCUGCAUGGUGGGGGGUGGAGAGCUGCGGCGGUUUUGGAUGGAGUCGCGGCCUAUCAGCUUGUUGGUGGGGUAGUGGCUUACCGAGGCUUUGACGGGUAGCCGGCCUGGGAGGGCGACCGGCCACAGUGGGACUGAGAGACGGCCCCGACUCCUACUGGUGGCAGCAGUGGGGAAUAGUGCACAAUGGGCGGAAGCCUGAUGCAGCACCGCCGCGGGCGGGAGGACGGCCUUCGGGUUGGAAUCCGCUUUCAGCAGGGGCGAAGCUUGUGGUGACGGUACCUGCAGAAGAAGCACCGGCUAACUACGUG
Molecule: ribosomal RNA, 465 nt
Filed under: uncultured bacterium
Lineage: Bacteria
Description: partial 16S ribosomal RNA
Rfam family: Bacterial small subunit ribosomal RNA
Source: RNAcentral